UGAGCAAACAUGGCGAGUCGUUGCUGCCGGUUUUUGAUCGAUCCUUGAUUAAUUACCCUCUGAAAUUGGACGCGAUUUACUGGAAAAAUGCUCAGAGAAUCCCCUUGCAGUCGCGCCACCCUUCCCUACCGACGAACCGUGUUCGAUCGACCUACACUUUCACCCAAUCGGAGAUUAAGAAACUGAAGAACUCGAUUCAGGAAAGGAUUCCAAAUUUAGCUCACCUCUCAUCUUUCGUCGCGAUCGCAGCUUAUAUCUGGACUAUCAUGGCGAAAUCACUCAGAUCUGAAGCAGACAACGACGGCGACGGCGACGCGUUUUUCUUAAUUCCGAUCGAUUUACGGCCGCGUUUGGAUCCGGCGGUUCCGGGGAACUACUUCGGCAACUGCCUGUCCUUCGCGCUGCCGAGGAUCGGGCGGCGGGAGCUGGCCGGAGAGGAGGGGCUGUUUCUGGCGGCGGAGGCGGCGGCGGCGGCGAUAGAGGAAAGGACGGGCGACAAGAAGAUUCUAGAGAGUGUGGAGAAAUGGUCGGGCGAGAUCCGCCAGGCGUUGCAGGAGUCGUUCUUCUCGGUAGCCGGGUCGACCCGGCUGGAUCUAUACGGGGCGGAUUUCGGGUGGGGCAGGGCGAGGAAGCAGGAGAUAUUGUCGAUUGAUGGGGAGAAAUAUGCGAUGACGCUUUGCAAAUCAAGGGAUUUUGUGGGAGGAUUCGAGGUUUGCUUGUCUUUGCCCAAGGACAAAAUGGAGGCUUUUCAUGCUUAUUUUGCCAAGGGAAUUAAUUAACCUUAAUAGUAUGUGUGUGUUUCUUAAUUUGUAUGAAAUUUUUUUCACUCAAAAAAAAAAUUGUAUGAAAUUUUAUAGUAUUUUGUUACAUAUGUAAUACGGUGGAGUAAGAUGGAGGCUGUGUUUGUGAUAGUACUUCGGGCCCUAAUGGUUUCUCCUCUCUUUUUAUUAGCACUGCUGGGACUUUGUGGGAGUGACGUGAUUGCUACGGUCCAGGAUUUUUUCCUGGCAAUUUCAUGCCCCGAAGCUUUACUGCUACUACUAUCGUCUUGCUCUCUAAGAAGACGAACCCGGAGACUUGGGACUGACUAUCGUCCUAUUAGCCUUUGUAACACCCCAAUUGGAGAGCCAAUCCANAGCAAACAUGGCGAGUGCCUGCCGGUUUUUGAUCGAUCCUUGAUUAAUUACCCUCUGAAAUUGGACGCGAUUUACUGGAAAAAUGCUCAGAGAAUCCCCUUGCAGUCGCGCCACCCUUCCCUACCGACGAACCGUGUUCGAUCGACCUACACUUUCACCCAAUCGGAGAUUAAGAAACUGAAGAACUCGAUUCAGGAAAGGAUUCCAAAUUUAGCUCACCUCUCAUCUUUCGUCGCGAUCGCAGCUUAUAUCUGGACUAUCAUGGCGAAAUCACUCAGAUCUGAAGCAGACAACGACGGCGACGGCGACGCGUUUUUCUUAAUUCCGAUCGAUUUACGGCCGCGUUUGGAUCCGGCGGUUCCGGGG
This 1502-nucleotide long non-coding RNA is filed under the name Salvia miltiorrhiza (redroot sage). RNAcentral describes it as "long non-coding RNA (SMIL_LNC010441)". Lineage: Eukaryota; Viridiplantae; Streptophyta; Magnoliopsida; Lamiales; Lamiaceae. The record is from RNAcentral.